NNNUCUGGUAAUUGGAAUGAGUACAAUCUAAACCCCUUAACGAGGAACCAUCGGAGGGCAAGUCUGGUGCCAGCAGCCGCGGUAAUUCCAGCUCCAAUAANGAANAUUUAAGUUGUUGCAGAUAAAAAGCUCGUAGUUNNAUCUAGGGUCGUGUCUGUCGGUCCGCCNACGGUGUGCACCGCCACUCGCGUCCCUUCUGCCGGCGGCGCGUUCCUGGCCUUAACUGGUCGGGNCGCAAUUCCGNNGCUGUUACUUU
This 256-nucleotide ribosomal RNA is filed under the name Nageia nagi. RNAcentral describes it as "partial 18S ribosomal RNA". It matches the Rfam family "Eukaryotic small subunit ribosomal RNA", at positions 498 to 758 of the family's 1831-position model. Lineage: Eukaryota; Viridiplantae; Streptophyta; Pinopsida; Araucariales; Podocarpaceae. The record is from RNAcentral.